RNAcentral lists this ribosomal RNA (253 nucleotides) under uncultured bacterium. Its description in RNAcentral is "partial 16S ribosomal RNA". It matches the Rfam family "Bacterial small subunit ribosomal RNA", at positions 524 to 776 of the family's 1533-position model. The record is from RNAcentral.
GACGGGUGGGGCUAGCGUUGUUCGGAAUUACUGGGCGUAAAGGGCGCGUAGGCGGCCAAUUAAGUUAGACGUGAAAGCCUUGGGCUUAACCUAAGAAUUGCGUUUAAUACUGGUUGGCUAGAGUUUGGUAGAGGAAAGCGGAAUUCCUAGUGUAGAGGUGAAAUUCGUAGAUAUUAGGAAGAACACCAGAGGCGAAGGCGGCUUUCUGGGCCAAUACUGACGCUGAGGCGCGAAAGCGUGGGGAGCAAACAGG